AGAACUCUUAAAGCUCAACAAUAAGAAAACACACAACCUGAUUUUAAAAUAAGCCAAAGAACUGAUGAGACAUCUCACCAAAGAAGAAGUCUCUGUGGCACCAGAUAAAACAAGCAGACCCAAAUACCACUGCAAAGGAUCUGAAAAUUAAACUGUUAUUGGAACCACAAUCCACUAAAACAGUCCAGGACCUGCAUGGUAAACCUAAG
Molecule: long non-coding RNA, 209 nt
Filed under: Pan troglodytes (chimpanzee)
Lineage: Eukaryota; Metazoa; Chordata; Mammalia; Primates; Hominidae
Description: long non-coding RNA NONPTRT010007
Source: RNAcentral